RNAcentral lists this ribosomal RNA (271 nucleotides) under uncultured bacterium. RNAcentral's name for it is "partial 16S ribosomal RNA". It matches the Rfam family "Bacterial small subunit ribosomal RNA", at positions 524 to 794 of the family's 1533-position model. The record is from RNAcentral.
UACGUAGGGAGCAAGCGUUGUUCGGAAUUAUUGGGCGUAAAGAGCGCGUAGGCGGUUCGGUAAGUCUGACGUGAAAUCUCGGGGCUCAACCCCGAAACUGCGUCUGAAACUACAGGUCUAGAAUCUUGGAGGGGGAAGGGGAAUUUCGCAUGUAGGGGUAAAAUCCGUAGAUAUGCGAAGGAACACCAGAGGCGAAGGCGCCUUCCUGGACAAGUAUUGACGCUGAGGCGCGAAAGCGUGGGGAUCAAACAGGAUUAGAAACCCGAGUAGU